UUUUUCUACCGAAUCGAAAUGUUAAGGGAAACCAAAAAUCAAAACAACGUCACAAGGGAAACCAAAGCAAAUACCUUAAUGUCAUAACAAUGCUACUCAUCAUGAUCAUAACAAAACACACGAUCGCAAACAGUAAUCAAUAACAUGCCAAUUACUGGCACUAUAAAACACUCAAAAUAUAACAAUAAUAAUUGGUUCAACGAGUUCUUUUCGGCUCUGUUCUUACAUUAUUGAGAAGGACGGAGAAAAAAAAAAGGGCGAAGUUUGGAAGGAGGAGGCUUAGGAAGUGUCCCAGGGCUUAGGUUCGGGAAGGGCAACGACCAUACCUUGGAGGUUGUGGUCGAGGAGGACCUGGCAUCCGAGCCUGGAGUGUUUGUUGAGGACCCUGGCUCGGGAAUUCCGAACGAGGACGUAUUCCUCGUCGUAGGAGCGAGGGGGAAGCUUGUCGAGCCAUUCUUGGGCGAUGUUGACCUCGCAGUGGGCGGAGCAGGCGUCGAUCUCUUCCAGGCGGUGGGAAUCCGGGUCGAUCAGGCCCGUGUUGAUUAGGGCCUUCAGGAGUGUGUGGCCCGCCAGGCCCACUACCUCGUGUUUCUUGCCCUCGAAGUCUAUCGCCGAGAGCCUCACGAUGCGGUCCGAGACCUUCUUCGAGGAGGACGAGGUGGCGGUGGAGCGCGAGAUU
RNAcentral lists this long non-coding RNA (679 nucleotides) under Vigna radiata. RNAcentral's name for it is "long non-coding RNA (VRAD_LNC015099)". The record is from RNAcentral. Lineage: Eukaryota; Viridiplantae; Streptophyta; Magnoliopsida; Fabales; Fabaceae.